RNAcentral lists this unclassified non-coding RNA (353 nucleotides) under soil metagenome. Its description in RNAcentral is "partial contains 5.8S ribosomal RNA, internal transcribed spacer 2, and large subunit ribosomal RNA". The stretch from base 1 to 120 matches the Rfam family "5.8S ribosomal RNA", at positions 35 to 154 of the family's 154-position model. The record is from RNAcentral.
GAUGAAGAACGUAGCGAAAUGCGAUAAGUAAUGUGAAUUGCAGAAUUCAGUGAAUCAUCGAAUCUUUGAACGCACAUUGCGCCCGCCAGUAUUCUGGCGGGCAUGCCUGUUCGAGCGUCAUUUCAACCCUCAGGCCCCCAGUGCCUGGCGUUGGGGAUCGGCGCGGCGCCCUCCGGGGCGCUGCCGGCCCCGAAAUUCAGUGGCGGUCUCGCUGUAGCCCUCCUCCGCGUAGUAGCACAACCUCGCGGCCUGGAGCUCGGCGGUGGCCAUGCCGUAAAACACCCCACUUCUGAAAGUUGACCUCGGAUCAGGUAGGAAUACCCGCUGAACUUAAGCAUAUCAAUAACGGAGGA